Molecule: ribosomal RNA, 626 nt
Filed under: Ocypode ceratophthalmus
Lineage: Eukaryota; Metazoa; Arthropoda; Malacostraca; Decapoda; Ocypodidae
Description: eukaryotic LSU rRNA
Source: RNAcentral
GCCGCGACCCGUUGCUGGGGACGUCGAAGGCCCGGGCGGACUGGUACCCCGACGUUGUCGUCGUUCGCGCCGCCGACGAAGGGGGAAACCUCCGGUGUCCUGGCUGCCCUGCGACGGUCGUGCAGCAGAGGAGCGAUGCAUCUCUCUCUCGCGGCGUGCAAAAGGUCGGUGACCCACCCGACCCGUCUUGAAACACGGACCAAGGAGUCUAACAUGUGUGCGAGUCAUUGGGCGCACUAAACCCAAGAGGCGAAAUGAAAGUGAAAGGAGAGCUCCUCGCUCUCCGGGGCCGAUCCCCGACCGGCUGUUGCCGCCACAGUUUCUCCCAUCCCAAAGCGAGGUUACCCAAAAGGGGGUUAGUCAGGGCGGAGUGAGUACCCUUUCCUCCGUCCGCCUCUGGCCUCGUGGGGUUCUGGGCGCGCACGACGGUCCGGCUCCCUUCGCGGGAGUCGCUCGUACGCGGGAGGGCGCAGGCCCGGGACUUGCCAUUCGACGCCGCGCGCAAAUCUGUUGUUGGCCUCGCCGGCUCUGCUUGGGCUCUCGGUUGGCGCGCCGCGUGUCAGGCGGGCUCUGGCUGGGGGUCUCGUGCUCCCGGUCGGGUUCGUCCCGCGCGGUUUUGCCUUCCG